Long non-coding RNA from Panicum hallii, 2350 nucleotides. RefSeq lists it as uncharacterized. The transcript is spliced from 2 exons. NCBI's taxonomy places the organism in Eukaryota, Viridiplantae, Streptophyta, Magnoliopsida, Poales, Poaceae. The record is from RefSeq and is a predicted model, not a curated record.
UGGUGGGCAUCUUCUUGAUAAACUCCCAGCUGACUGACUGCAAAAGGAUCACAUAUUAUUUGAAAAUGCUUUGCUUAUAUGAUGAUACAGGUAGCAGUUCAAUUCUGAGAGUGAUGAUGACGGAGCAGUUAUGUGGAAGUUGAGAACGCCCCAGCGACAUGUCAAAGUCCAAAUCCUGGGUAACGGUAUUUGAGCUUUACCUGCAUAAAUCGAAUUCAAGCUUUAACUUGGUGGACAGACACAACAAAGAGAACACUUAAAUUUUUAAAUUCCAAUUGAGCUAGCAUUAUUUCUAAAAUACUUAAUCGCAUAUUUGCCUGCGUAGAUUUGCAGUCGAAUAGGAAGUGAAUUUAUCAUCUACAGUAUUUUGGGGUUAAUAACAAGGGGCUUAUUAGCAGAGUUAGGAGUACAAUCUCUUCUCUUUUUUCUUUCCAAACAGAUUCAGCAGAGUCUUUAGUGACCUUGUCUAGGAUAAAAUUUACAGUGCAUGAACUCAACUGCUUUCACAAAAAGGGAAAUCAUUGCCGAGAUCAUGGUACAGUAACAUUAGGUCUGGUGGAUAGCAUCAAUCAUUUAUCAGCCACACCACACUUAAUGGCGAUGGAUAACCUAUCUCCCUGGACGAACGCCCUCGUUUCUCGCCUGCCGAAUAGAGAAAAGAAAUCAGGAAAUGGAAGGCGAUGGCGACAGGAAUCGGGGGGAGCGGAAGCAGGGGAUGCAUCCGUCCAGGACACUAGUGGGACAAGGCCCAAGUGUGCACGCGAGCACAAACUCGCCUUUAAUUUCCUGCCUUUUGAAUCACCAGCGACAAAGCUGCAUAGUCAAGCCCAUCAUGGCCUGGUCAGACUAAUGGGGAUAAUCGUAGCUGUUGACACCCGGCCCAACCUUUCAAUACUUGAACAGUUCAAUACUACCACUGUGUUAGAUUCUGCAUCAGAUUAAGUUGACAACAAGAUUUGUCCUUGUUUGUCCGUAAUUCAGAUUUGUCUCUUCUUAAAGAAAUGAAAAGGAAAGGCAAACACAUAUACAGCUGACAUAGUAGAGGCAAGAACGAGGUAGAAUCAGGACUUUAGAAACUCACCAGGUGGACUUAACUAAACUAAAUAAACUAAACAAAACACUGGGUUGGAGCAGUAGAAAAAACCAAGCGCUCCAGACAGACAUGACACUAACAUGAUGGUAAAACCAACAAGAAGAACAAGGCGACCAGGCAGAGACAAGCGCGCACGACUUGCUUGCUUGGUUGAUUCUGUCGCCGGAGAGACGGCCGUCGCCGUCACCCGGGCGUCGCCUCCUCUGCCUUUGCCUUGCUUCCCUUCCCGUUUGGGCACGAGGCAGCUUUCUUCCUGGGAAGCUUCGUCCGCGGCCGCGGCGGAUGCGACCCUCGGAUCCCGCGAAUCGUCGCGCAUCCGGAGGGCGGGACCCCCCGCCGACAGCGACCCUUGGGUGGGCCGGCACGUGAUCGCCCGCGGUGAAUCAUGGCGUAGCGCGGGGAAAAGGCGGUUGCGGCUGGGCCGGGGUUCCCAGUGCCUGUCUGGCCGUCCGCGUGUGCGCGCCGCGCCACCCGACGGCGACGCGGCCGGCGCGACGUGGUGGCGUGCGCGUCGCAGGCCGAGGGCGGGUCGCCGUCCGGCGGUGGAUGGAUGGAGCUCCGUCGAAGCCGAGGCCACCACGCCACUCUCUCCUCGCGGUCGUGUGCGCGGCGUGCCUGCUCGGAUCGGAACGGCGAGGAGGCGGUCAGUCAACGGCGCGUGCGGGCAGCGGCGACCGGCGACGGGGGUGGGGUUGCCGGCAUGCCGCUCGCUGAUUUCCGUCCCAUCCCAUUCCAUCCCACUGUCUAUGACUACUACUCGUACUGCGGGGUACAGGGAGAUCUAGUUGGUUUGGAGGCCGGAACAGCUCAGCCUGUCCAGGACGGAACGACUUGCUUGCUCCGGCACCAACCAGCCGGAUUCCGAAUUUCCCGUGGGAGGGGCGGCCAGUUCAGCCACCCACCAUUCUUUCCCGUGAUGCCCAUCAUUAAGCUAGCAUGGCAUGAACACGAGCUGAUUUUUUUUUAGACAACAACAAAAAAAAAGGAAAGAAGACAUGAACAGCUCAUAAAUGAUUUGACUUCUUGAUUACAUAUCAUGUUAUGUACACAGUUCUUUAUACAUACAACCAUGGUUACAUGGAGGCGGUAGCUUCACGGCUUGCUUAAGCAAGCAAAAGCCAUCUUCUUUUUUUCAUCACCAUCCCAGGACGGACUCCUCAACUAGAACAUUGAUUGAUAUCUACAAGACGGACGCCCGAACAACGAACAAGAUAUGCUAGUUUACAACACAAGACGAGAAAACCUUGCUGAGAAAAA